This 1380-nucleotide ribosomal RNA is filed under the name Triticum aestivum (bread wheat). RNAcentral describes it as "partial small subunit ribosomal RNA". The record is from RNAcentral. Lineage: Eukaryota; Viridiplantae; Streptophyta; Magnoliopsida; Poales; Poaceae.
AUGGCCUGUGGGUCUCGAAGCAACGAGAUAGUGGACGAGUUCGAGAAGCUGGUCAUCAAGAUGAACCCUCCAAGGGUCACCGUGGAUAAUACCUCCGACAUGACUGCAACCUUGGUCAAGGUUGACAGCGCGAACAAGUAUGGGACCUUGCUAGAGGUUGUCCAGGUGCUGACCGAUCUGAAGCUGACCAUAAACCGGGCCUACAUUUCCUCUGAUGGGGAGUGGUUCAUGGAUGUGUUCCAUGUCGUGGAUGAGGAAGGGAAUAAGCUUUAUGACGGCCAAGUCAUCGACAGAAUUGAGCAGUCUCUCGGAGCCGGGUCGCUCAGCUUCCGCGGCACGGACCGGUGCGUCGGCGUCGACGCGGAGGCGGAGGCGGCGCAGACGGUGAUCGAGCUGAUCGGGCGGGACCGGCCGGGCCUCCUGUCGGAGGUGUUCGCGGUGCUCACCAACCUCAAGUGCAACAUCGCGGCGUCCGAGGUGUGGACGCACGACGGCCGCAUGGCGGCGCUCAUGUACGUGACGGACGCCGAGACCGGCGGCGGCAUCGAGGAGCCCGAGCGUCUGGACACGGUGAAGCGGCUGCUCCGGCACGUGCUGCGCGGCAGCAGCCGGGACAAGAAGGCCGCCCGGGCCGCCAUCUCGGCGCGCGCCGCGGCGCCGCACGCCCAGCGGCGCCUGCACCAGAUGAUGCACGCCGACCGGGGCGCCCACCGCACCGACGGCGGCGACGGCGACGCGGCGGCCGACGACCGGAGCCUGCCGGUGGUGGUGGUGGAGGAUUGCGCCGAGAGGGGGUACACGCUGGUGAACGUGCGGUGCCGCGACCGGCCGAAGCUGCUGUUCGACACGGUGUGCACCCUCAUCGACAUGCAGUACCUCGUCUUCCACGGCACCGUCAUCGCCGAGGGCUCCGAGGCCUACCAGGAGUAUUACAUCAGGCACCUCGACGACGGCGCCGCCGCCUCCGACCAAGACCGGGAGCAGCUCCGCCGCUGCCUCGAGGCCGCCAUCCAACGCCGUAACACAGAGGGGCUUGGGCUGGAGCUGUGCUGCGAGGACAGGGUGGGGCUGCUGUCGGACGUGACGCGUAUAUUCCGGGAGCACGGGCUGUCGGUCACGCACGCCGAGGUGGCGACGCGCGGGGAGCGGGCGGCCAACGUCUUCUACGUGGUGACCGCGUCGGGGAUGCCCGUGCAGGCGCAGGCCGUGGAGGCCGUCCGGGCGGAGAUCGGCGACGAGAUCCUCCUGGUCAAGGAGGACGCCGCCGCGCCCAAGUCGCCCCCGGGCCGCGACGGCGGCGGUCGCUCGCUCGGAAACAUGAUCCGGUCCCGCUCCGAGAAGUUCCUCUACAACCUCGGCCUCAUCAGGUCAUGCUCUUAG